RNAcentral lists this ribosomal RNA (441 nucleotides) under uncultured bacterium. Its description in RNAcentral is "bacterial SSU rRNA". It matches the Rfam family "Bacterial small subunit ribosomal RNA", at positions 954 to 1392 of the family's 1533-position model. The record is from RNAcentral.
GCACAACGCGAAGAACCUUACCAAGGCUUGACAUCCACGAAUCCUGUGGAAACAUAGGAGUGCCCCUUUGGGGAGCGUAGAGACAGGUGGUGCAUGGUUGUCGUCAGCUCGUGUCGUGAGAUGUUGGGUUAAGUCCCGCAACGAGCGCAACCCUUAUCCUUUGUUGCCAGCGGUUCGGCCGGGAAACUCAAAGGAGACUGCCAGUGAUAAACUGGAGGAAGGUGGGGAUGACGUCAAGUCAUCAUGGCCCUUACGAGUAGGGCUACACACGUGCUACAAUGGCGUAUACAAAGAGAAGCGACCUCGCGAGAGCAAGCGGACCUCAUAAAGUACGUCGUAGUCCGGAUUGGAGUCUGCAACUCGACUCCAUGAAGUCGGAAUCGCUAGUAAUCGUAGAUCAGAAUGCCGCGGUGAAUACGUUCCCGGGUCUUGUACACACCG